RNAcentral lists this ribosomal RNA (373 nucleotides) under uncultured bacterium. RNAcentral's name for it is "bacterial SSU rRNA". It matches the Rfam family "Bacterial small subunit ribosomal RNA", at positions 523 to 898 of the family's 1533-position model. The record is from RNAcentral.
AUACGGAGGAUCCGAGCGUUAUCCGGAUUUACUGGGUUUAAAGGGUGCGUAGGCGGGUGGCUCAGUCGGCGGUGAAAUGCAGCGGCUCAACCGUUGCCCUGCCGUCGAAACUGGCCGCCUUGAAUUCGGUCGAGGCCGGCGGAAUGCGCGGUGUAGCGGGGAAAUGCUUAGAUAUCGCGCGGAACGCCGAUUGCGGAGGCAGCUGGCUGGACCGAGAUUGACGCUGAUGCACAACAGCGUGGGGAUCGAACAGGAUUAGAUACCCUGGUAGUCCACGCCGUAAACGAUGAUGGCUGGGUGUUGGCGAUACACUGUCAGCGCCUGAGCGAAAGCAUUAAGCCAUCCACCUGGGGAGUACGAUCGCAAGGUUGAA